Molecule: long non-coding RNA, 1174 nt
Filed under: Ananas comosus (pineapple)
Lineage: Eukaryota; Viridiplantae; Streptophyta; Magnoliopsida; Poales; Bromeliaceae
Description: long non-coding RNA (ACOM_LNC019783)
Source: RNAcentral
UUUUUUGAAAAUAUUGCAAGUCUUUUUCUUAUUAAAUACAACUAGACCUUUCUCUAGGUCCACUAUUCCGUGACACCCUUGUCGUGGUCGCAUGUCUUGCCAACGAUAGUAGUCUCUGAAAAACGACAAAGAAUAAAAGGAUGAGAACUUUAGUUAGUUCCCAGUGGAUGCAAUUGUCGAAAGUAGCACUCUACAUUUACUUGGUCCAAAGAAGGCAUUAAUAGAUAAAUAGUGAUAACGAUAAAUAUUUCUACAAUAGAAAUGCAACAAUAGAACUACAACUAUAAUGCCUCAAUUAUACAAGAUGUCACUAUAUCAUUGGUUAUAAGUUUACGUAAUUACUUCAUAUCUCAAUCGCCUUAUACCUCUCAAAUAUACAUUUCUUCAAACCAAAUUGGUAGUUUAGUUUCACUUUUUAUUAUACCUUAUGGAGGGUCAAUUGCUAUCGGACUUCGCUCCAACCGGUAGGUAAAUAUGGUUGAUUGCUCUUGGACUCCCCCAAGUACCUCAUAGAGAAUCAAAUUCUCUAGCAUUCCUUUCUUUUGCUUUGACAUUUCUAGAAUGUCGCACAUAUUUUACCAUUAUACUCUAAGUUCAUGAUUUUUAGGGUUAUCCACCAUGUUCAAUAUAUACAAUAUAAUCUCUAGUUCACAUUUAACCUAGAGUUCACAUGUCAUUAUAUUUUCACCUUUAAGUUUUGAUCUAAGUUUAAAUCACACUUGUGUAACCAAUAUCCAAGAUUCUUAAUAUAUAUACAUGCACAUUAAUUCAAUAUUAUCUAUCUUACAUACUAAUAACUCAAGAAAAUAAUGGACAAAGAAAAGAUCAAACUAUUUUUGAUGCUACUCCCCUCCUUUGCUUUAAACCCCUGUUGGAGAUGAGUGUCAAUCUCCAAGAAUCCUAAGAAAAACCUAAAAUUGAGUUCUAACCAAGUUAAAACUAUGAAUUCUCUUAUUUGGGGCAAAACAUCAAAAAUAAAAAUUUAAAAAUACAUCAACUCACCUCUCCUUCUUCUAGCAAGAGAAAUAUUAGUGGAAAGGAUUGUCUUCUUCCUCCUAAAGCUUUCUCCUAGCACCUUUUGUCUCUUCCAAACCUCCAAAGAAAUGGAUCUAAGAGAUCCCUUCAAUGAGAAACUAGGAUUUCCUCUUCAUCUAGAGAGAGAAAAAGAAGAAAG